Molecule: long non-coding RNA, 749 nt
Organism: Alligator mississippiensis (American alligator)
Lineage: Eukaryota; Metazoa; Chordata; Crocodylia; Alligatoridae
Exons: 2
Source: RefSeq, a predicted model, not a curated record
CACCAUCUGAUUCAUCAAUGGCAUCAUAUACUGGUGACGGGGCCAGAAGGCCUAUGAAAGCUUUCCCUCCCUGCGCCUCCUUAUCCACUUGACUCCACAUCCACUCCCUCCUGUUCGCUUGACAGGCAUUUCUGAAUUGAAGAACCAUGUCUUACCCCAACCAGCAGCAAUGCAAGCAGGUUGUGUGUCCUCCACCAGUGAUUCCUCCCCAGAAGUGUCCUCCACCGCAGUGUCCUCUACCAAAGUGCCCUCCAUCGAAGUGUCCUCCACCUCAGUGGCCUGACCAGAAGUGCCCUCUCCCGCAGUGGCCUGACCAGAAGUGCCCUCCACCACAGUGUCCGGACCAGAAGUGCCCUCCACCACAGUGUCCUCAGCAACAGUGACCUCCACAGAAGUGAAGGGUAAUGCCCCAACCCACCAUGGCAGCAUCCAUCGCCAAGAAACAAAGAGCAAGCCAGCAAGUCCCAGCAUGUCCCUUCAGCUUCUUUCACAUCUGCUUCUCUUCUCUCCUUGCUUCCUAAAGUGUUUCUGUGGUGGUUUCAUAGCUCUGCUCUUGAACCCUACAUUAAUUUGUUCUAAGUGACAUCUUAAAAUCUGUGUAUAUUUUAAUUGACUUUCUAUCUUAACUUCCUGGCAUUCCCCCUUCAGGCUGGAUGUGGAUAUGGGGAUAUGUGACCUUGAAUCAUUCCAUAGUGUUUCCUUCAUACCUGUUAAGUGCAACCAUGUUGAAAUAAAAGUUCUUCAUGGCA